RNAcentral lists this ribosomal RNA (588 nucleotides) under uncultured Geobacter sp. RNAcentral's name for it is "bacterial SSU rRNA". It matches the Rfam family "Bacterial small subunit ribosomal RNA", at positions 10 to 574 of the family's 1533-position model. Lineage: Bacteria; Pseudomonadati; Thermodesulfobacteriota; Desulfuromonadia; Geobacterales; Geobacteraceae. The record is from RNAcentral.
AGUUUGAUCCUGGCUCAGAACGAACGCUGGCGGCGUGCCUAACACAUGCAAGUCGAACGGAGUUGAGGGGCUUGCUCCUCAAUUUAGUGGCGCACGGGUGAGUAACGCGUAGAUAAUCUGCCUGAUGAUCUGGGAUAACACUUCGAAAGGGGUGCUAAUACCGGAUAAGCCCACGAUGGCCUUGGUCGUUGCGGGAAAAGGGGGGGACUUUCGGGCCUUCUGUCAUCAGAUGAGUCUGCGUACCAUUAGCUAGUUGGUGGGGUAAGAGCCUACCAAGGCGACGAUGGUUAGCUGGUCUGAGAGGAUGAUCAGCCACACUGGAACUGAGACACGGUCCAGACUCCUACGGGAGGCAGCAGUGGGGAAUUUCGCGCAAUGGGCGAAAGCCAGACGCAGCAACGCCGCGUGAGUGAUGAAGGCUUUCGGGUCGUAAAGCUCUGUCAAGGGGAAAGAAGUGUAUUGCGGUUAAUACCCGUGAUACUUGACGGUACCCCCAAAGGAAGCACCGGCUAACUCCGUGCCAGCAGCCGCGGUAAUACGGGGGGGUGCGAGCGUUGUUCGGAAUUAUUGGGCGUAAAGCGCGUGUAG